RNAcentral lists this ribosomal RNA (541 nucleotides) under uncultured bacterium. RNAcentral describes it as "partial 16S ribosomal RNA". It matches the Rfam family "Bacterial small subunit ribosomal RNA", at positions 355 to 914 of the family's 1533-position model. The record is from RNAcentral.
UGGGGAAUAUUGGACAAUGGGGGCAACCCUGAUCCAGCCAUGCCGCGUGAGUGAUGAAGGCCUUCGGGUUGUAAAGCUCUUUUGGCGGGGACGAUGAUGACGGUACCCGCAGAAUAAGCCCCGGCUAACUUCGUGCCAGCAGCCGCGGUAAGACGAAGGGGGCUAGCGUUGUUCGGAAUUACUGGGCGUAAAGCGAGUGUAGGCGGUUGCCGUAGUCAGGUGUGAAAGCCUUGAGCUCAACUCAAGAGAUGCACUUGAUACUGGGUGACUAGAGGACCGGAGAGGAUAGUGGAAUUCCCAGUGUAGUGGUGAAAUACGUAGAGAUUGGGAAGAACACCAGUGGCGAAGGCGGCUAUCUGGACGGUUACUGACGCUAAGACUCGAAAGCGUGGGGAGCAAACAGGAUUAGAUACCCUGGUAGUCCACGCCGUAAACGAUGGGUGCUAGACGUUGGCGAGCUUGCUCGUCAGUGUCGCAGCUAACGCGUUAAGCACCCCGCCUGGGGAGUACGGCCGCAAGGUUGAAACUCAAAUGAAUUGAC